GACGAACGCUGGCGGCGUGCUUAACACAUGCAAGUCGAACGGAAAGGCCCUGCUUUUGUGGGGUGCUCGAGUGGCGAACGGGUGAGUAACACGUGAGUAACCUGCCCUUGACUUUGGGAUAACUUCAGGAAACUGGGGCUAAUACCGGAUAGGAGCUCCUGCUGCAUGGUGGGGGUUGGAAAGUUUCGGCGGUUGGGGAUGGACUCGCGGCUUAUCAGCUUGUUGGUGGGGUAGUGGCUUACCAAGGCUUUGACGGGUAGCCGGCCUGAGAGGGUGACCGGCCACAUUGGGACUGAGAUAAGGCACAGACUCCUACGGGAGGCAGCAGUGGGGAAUAUUGAACAAUGGGCGGAAGCCUGAUGCAGCAACGCCGCGUGCGGGAUGACGGCCUUCGGGUUGUAAACCGCUUUCGCCUGUGACGAAGCGUGAGUGACGGUAAUGGGUAAAGAAGCACCGGCUAACUACGUG
This 468-nucleotide ribosomal RNA is filed under the name uncultured bacterium. Its description in RNAcentral is "partial 16S ribosomal RNA". It matches the Rfam family "Bacterial small subunit ribosomal RNA", at positions 28 to 507 of the family's 1533-position model. The record is from RNAcentral.